GACGAACGCUGGCGGCGUGCCUGACACAUGCAAGUCGAGCGAUGAAGUUCCUUCGGGAAUGGAUUAGCGGCGGACGGGUGAGUAACACGUGGGUAACCUGCCUCAUAGAGGGGAAUAGCCUUUCGAAAGGAAGAUUAAUACCGCAUAAGAUUGUAGUGCCGCAUGGUACAGCAAUUAAAGGAGUAAUCCGCUAUGAGAUGGACCCGCGUCGCAUUAGCUAGUUGGUGAGGUAACGGCUCACCAAGGCGACGAUGCGUAGCCGACCUGAGAGGGUGAUCGGCCACAUUGGGACUGAGACACGGCCCAGACUCCUACGGGAGGCAGCAGUGGGGAAUAUUGCACAAUGGGGGUAACCCUGAUGCAGCAACGCCGCGUGAGUGAUGACGGUCUUCGGAUUGUAAAACUCUGUCUUCAGGGACGAUAAUGACGGUACCUGAGGAGGAAGCCACGGCUAACUACGUGCCAGCAGCCGCCGUAA
Molecule: ribosomal RNA, 478 nt
Filed under: uncultured bacterium
Lineage: Bacteria
Description: partial 16S ribosomal RNA
Rfam family: Bacterial small subunit ribosomal RNA
Source: RNAcentral